This 16-nucleotide small RNA is filed under the name Arabidopsis thaliana (thale cress). Its description in RNAcentral is "ATSL121030". Lineage: Eukaryota; Viridiplantae; Streptophyta; Magnoliopsida; Brassicales; Brassicaceae. The record is from RNAcentral.
AACAAGAUGAAACAAC